Molecule: long non-coding RNA, 199 nt
Filed under: Lathyrus oleraceus (garden pea)
Lineage: Eukaryota; Viridiplantae; Streptophyta; Magnoliopsida; Fabales; Fabaceae
Description: Pisum sativum (pea) long non-coding RNA (PSAT_LNC041424)
Source: RNAcentral
UUUUUUUUUCAUUUUUUUUUUAGGCGAAGUAUUUCUUGACUGCAUCUGAAUUCACAAGACGAGUGAAAUCCUCCCCAUCCAUUGUUGUAAGCAUCAAAGCACCGCCUGAAAAGGCUCUCUUAACAACAUAUGGACCCUCAUAGUUUGGAGUCCACUUGCCCCUGGAAUCGGGCGCGAAAGACAAAACUUUCUUGAGCAC